This 1528-nucleotide ribosomal RNA is filed under the name Klebsiella variicola. RNAcentral describes it as "bacterial SSU rRNA". It matches the Rfam family "Bacterial small subunit ribosomal RNA". The record is from RNAcentral. Lineage: Bacteria; Pseudomonadati; Pseudomonadota; Gammaproteobacteria; Enterobacterales; Enterobacteriaceae.
AGAGUUUGAUCAUGGCUCAGAUUGAACGCUGGCGGCAGGCCUAACACAUGCAAGUCGAGCGGUAGCACAGAGAGCUUGCUCUCGGGUGACGAGCGGCGGACGGGUGAGUAAUGUCUGGGAAACUGCCUGAUGGAGGGGGAUAACUACUGGAAACGGUAGCUAAUACCGCAUAACGUCGCAAGACCAAAGUGGGGGACCUUCGGGCCUCAUGCCAUCAGAUGUGCCCAGAUGGGAUUAGCUAGUAGGUGGGGUAACGGCUCACCUAGGCGACGAUCCCUAGCUGGUCUGAGAGGAUGACCAGCCACACUGGAACUGAGACACGGUCCAGACUCCUACGGGAGGCAGCAGUGGGGAAUAUUGCACAAUGGGCGCAAGCCUGAUGCAGCCAUGCCGCGUGUGUGAAGAAGGCCUUCGGGUUGUAAAGCACUUUCAGCGGGGAGGAAGGCGAUAAGGUUAAUAACCUUGUCGAUUGACGUUACCCGCAGAAGAAGCACCGGCUAACUCCGUGCCAGCAGCCGCGGUAAUACGGAGGGUGCAAGCGUUAAUCGGAAUUACUGGGCGUAAAGCGCACGCAGGCGGUCUGUCAAGUCGGAUGUGAAAUCCCCGGGCUCAACCUGGGAACUGCAUUCGAAACUGGCAGGCUAGAGUCUUGUAGAGGGGGGUAGAAUUCCAGGUGUAGCGGUGAAAUGCGUAGAGAUCUGGAGGAAUACCGGUGGCGAAGGCGGCCCCCUGGACAAAGACUGACGCUCAGGUGCGAAAGCGUGGGGAGCAAACAGGAUUAGAUACCCUGGUAGUCCACGCUGUAAACGAUGUCGAUUUGGAGGUUGUGCCCUUGAGGCGUGGCUUCCGGAGCUAACGCGUUAAAUCGACCGCCUGGGGAGUACGGCCGCAAGGUUAAAACUCAAAUGAAUUGACGGGGGCCCGCACAAGCGGUGGAGCAUGUGGUUUAAUUCGAUGCAACGCGAAGAACCUUACCUGGUCUUGACAUCCACAGAACUUUCCAGAGAUGGAUUGGUGCCUUCGGGAACUGUGAGACAGGUGCUGCAUGGCUGUCGUCAGCUCGUGUUGUGAAAUGUUGGGUUAAGUCCCGCAACGAGCGCAACCCUUAUCCUUUGUUGCCAGCGGUCCGGCCGGGAACUCAAAGGAGACUGCCAGUGAUAAACUGGAGGAAGGUGGGGAUGACGUCAAGUCAUCAUGGCCCUUACGACCAGGGCUACACACGUGCUACAAUGGCAUAUACAAAGAGAAGCGACCUCGCGAGAGCAAGCGGACCUCAUAAAGUAUGUCGUAGUCCGGAUUGGAGUCUGCAACUCGACUCCAUGAAGUCGGAAUCGCUAGUAAUCGUAGAUCAGAAUGCUACGGUGAAUACGUUCCCGGGCCUUGUACACACCGCCCGUCACACCAUGGGAGUGGGUUGCAAAAGAAGUAGGUAGCUUAACCUUCGGGAGGGCGCUUACCACUUUGUGAUUCAUGACUGGGGUGAAGUCGUAACAAGGUAACCGUAGGGGAACCUGCGGUUGGAUCACCU